AAAAAAGCUAGAGGAAGGCGUCCAGGUUCAGUGCACCCGAUCCCCGUCACUGCAGGAGAUCGAUACUGUCGUUCAAAGUUCAGAAACGCGGCCAGAUGACGAGUUUCAGAGCGGGUCAAAUUGGAGCGGGCUGAGCCUCCCAAGAGAUGCUCGCAGUAUAAGUAUCUUUGGUGGUGAAGCAGCGUCCCAAGAGGCGAGAUGACAUUCUUCUUCCUCAUGCCACCGUAAGAGGAGGAGGAGGAGAGGCCGUGGUCUCGCGUGGAGUUCCCUCAAUCAUCACUUCUUGGUUCUAGUCUGUCGUUGUUCGCUCUCGCUCAGGUAGGGUGGGGGAUUUUGCUGUUGUGAUCGACCCCCCUCGUGUUGUUCGUAGGGAUUCAUGGCAGAUGCGACUCCUUUUCUCCUCUUGGCUCUUGCUGCGUGUUGUUGCGGCAGCUUGAUUGUAUGUUUGUUGUAUCCAAGCAAAUAAAUGUUUGAUGAGUAGAGAAACUGCUUGAUCAUGUUCCUUGUCCCUUUUGAUUGUUUUUGUUUCUUUCGCUCUCUUGUCUGAUUGUGUGUGCGUGUAUGUGUUUCUCUACUCCCCAUCUGCAGCUGAAGAUGUUUCCAAUGCUGCAACGGUUCAUGAUCCAAUAUAUUCUGACGCCAUCCACGCCGUUUUGAGAGGGUACACUGGCCCAGUAUUCCUGAAUUUUACCUUGUCUUCGGCUAUGUUUAUCUAUCUGGUAGAAGGUAGGGGCCAUGAAAAUCAAUGAUUGCAUUCAUUCACCAGUUCGGCCAAUGAGAACACUUUUAGCUCACCAGCCCUGAGAUGCAACAAUAUGCAUCAACUUUGGACAUCUAAGGCAAUAACAUGUACAGUCAAAAGAUAUUUCCUGCAAAAUUGUGCAAUAUUACAAAACAGCGGAUCACAUCUUUUAAUAGUAGAUGACCCAAUUUUAUACUAACUUUGUACUAAAGUUAGUACAAAGUUGGGUCAUUUAUUUUGAAACGGAGGGAGUAUGACAGUAGGAAUAUCUCCCUUAGAAUGCACAAAAUGCUACCCUCUCUGUAAUUAAAUAUAAGUCGGCUCGUGUCAAGUCUCUAAAACGUCUUAUAUCAGUGGUACAUUAAAGAGAAAGCAAU
This 1119-nucleotide long non-coding RNA is filed under the name Triticum aestivum (bread wheat). RNAcentral's name for it is "long non-coding RNA (TAES_LNC023003)". Lineage: Eukaryota; Viridiplantae; Streptophyta; Magnoliopsida; Poales; Poaceae. The record is from RNAcentral.